ACCAACAUCACCAAUCCCAAAUUUAAUUUAUCCUCUGGAACAAAAUUAGAAUGCAUCGUAAAGCAUUCUCAUGUUAAUUCUUUUUUUGCUUUCAAAAUAUUGAUCUCUAAGUCGAGAAUUGUUGGGAUCAAGAUUAACAGAUUCUUCAUGACAAGGUAAUCCCGUGAUUAGACAAAAUUCUUGCAAGCCAAAACGAGCAAAAUGAUCGUCCAACCUCACCCACACCUCAUUCCUUUUACCACAGUCAACAAACCUCAUUAUAAAUUCAUGUAUUAGUUUACUGCUGAAUUGUUGCUCUUCAUCUGCAUACAUAAAUCCAUAAAGAAAUCCAUGAAAACUGCUAUCGCUAGAGAGUAAAAGUGAUUGCUCAUCUGCUUGAAGCAAUUCUAUACAAUCUUUUACAUAUUGGUAAUUGGUGUGUUGAGUUAUAGCACCAGAAAAUCAUUGGUUUGGUGACAGUAUAUAAUCUAGAGACAUCUGCGCAAAUAAUAGAAGAUAUAUAUGAAAAAUGUCAUAACUUAUACCAACAUAUCUUCGUGAUUUCAUAUAAGUAUAUAUCAUAUAUAUCAUGUAAGCUGAAAAAAAAUUACUGUCAAUGCAUAUCAAUCAUCAGAUUUAAUAUAUAUUUUCUAAUUUUGAGAUUUUGUCUCCAAUUUAUAUAAAAAAAAAAGUAUAAUUUAACUUUAAAAAAAGAAGCAAAAAAAAGGGUAAGUUCCGGGUGCGGAGUCCUGUGCGGGAAUUCCAUGUGGAGUCCCCACAUGAAAUCGGUUAUGUGAUUGCUUUGAUUCGGAAACUUCUGCCUUUGGAUGUAAAAGAUGGUGAAAAAGAUGCUUUUGAAUUGGACAAAGGACCAGAAACUAAAGAAUCAGAAGAACAUGCUGUAAAUUUAUCUAAAAAUGAAGCGGAAGUUGAAGCUAUUGACACUGCUCAUAACAUUGGCGAACUGGAUAAUAAAGCAGCUGUAGAUGAAGAAUUGCAAUGUCAUCAUGAUAAGCAUCAAGGUGGAAUGGUGGGAGAAGAAACUUGGGAAGAGUGUGGGUGCAUUUUAUGGAUCUAGCGGCAAGCGAGCAUCAUGCUGAAUUCAUGGUAUUGUUAUCUUUUCUUUAGGUUAAUAUGAUUUACUUAUAAUUUCUCAACAAUUUUAACUAAACUUCCAAAAAAUGGUUCUCAAUCCAUAUAUUCAAGAGGUUUUUUCUUACAAAAUUUGGAUUAAAGAGAUAAUAUUCUUGUUUAGAUUUUUUGAAGAGGAAAACUUAAUUGAUUUACCAAAAUCACCCAAUUCCACCAACCUCAUACACCUUCAAUAGUAUAUGCUAAAAAAUGCAUAACCAGACAGGCAUCUGCCUAAGAAUAGAUUCAGGGGUAGAUUUAAAAAUGUUAUAUCAUUUAUGCAAAGGUCUUUUGCCUUUGAAACAUAUUGAUAGAGACAUUUACAUUUCUAUCAUGUUCAAAAUCUUAUUCCUG
Molecule: long non-coding RNA, 1464 nt
Filed under: Olea europaea subsp. europaea
Lineage: Eukaryota; Viridiplantae; Streptophyta; Magnoliopsida; Lamiales; Oleaceae
Source: RNAcentral